AUGUGUCAGAGUGGAGGAGUUCAGGGUGGAUCAAAAAACACUGGACUUUCGCCCAUGAGACCGGUGUUCGUGUCCUUUGUGAAACCGGAAGUCAAAGUUGAUAUAUUUGCCCCCCAAACAAAAA
This is a long non-coding RNA of Sebastes umbrosus (honeycomb rockfish), 124 nucleotides long. RefSeq lists it as uncharacterized. The record is from RefSeq and is a predicted model, not a curated record. NCBI's taxonomy places the organism in Eukaryota, Metazoa, Chordata, Actinopteri, Perciformes, Sebastidae. The transcript has 3 exons.